CAAGUACCGUGAGGGAAAGUUGCAAAGUACUUUGAAGAGAGAGUUCAAGAGGACGUGAAACCGAUAGGAUGGAAGCAGAUGAAGUUGACGAACGAGUGUCGUAUUCAGGGUUGCAUCUUGUGUGCAGUCUGUUCUUGCGGCCGAUGUGGGCCGGCGGCUUUGGUCAAUGCACUGUGUCAAGCGUCGAUGGUGACCCUGCGGAGGGAUAAUCAGUCGGCUGCGAUGCGUGGUAUGGCUAAGGUUUCGCCGGUCUUGAAGUCAGCGCCUCAUCUGACCCGUCUUGAAACACGGACCAAGGAGUGUAGCGUUUACGCGAGUCUUAGAGUGUGUCAAAACUUUGAGGCGCAACGAAAGUGAAUGUAGUUUAAUCUACUGACUUGGGAUGCGUUGUCUCCUGUGGACGGCGCUGGACCAAGGUUAUAUCGAGAUCGCUUGCGAUUCGGUGUAAAUAGAGCGUAAGCGGUGCGACCCGAAAGAUGGUGAACUAUGCCUGAGCAGGAUGAAGCCGGAGGAAACUCUGGUGGAAGUCCGAAGCGGUUCUGACGUGCAAAUCGAUC
Molecule: ribosomal RNA, 557 nt
Filed under: unidentified
Description: Steinernema sp. eALN7.4_TH partial large subunit ribosomal RNA
Rfam family: Eukaryotic large subunit ribosomal RNA
Source: RNAcentral